GGAAACAGGUGAAAAAAGCAGAAGCAGGAAGUAAACAGCUGUAGAUCUUACGACUAUACUCGGACCAAAAAAAACAACAACGUUUAAAUGCUUUUAAAUCGCUUCAGUUUGGAUCCUUGCAGGCUAUAAUGUUCACAGUUCGAGGCUGCAUAAUGAAAAUAAGUUAGCCGGGCUUUAAAGGUAACAAGGAUGUCUGAACAGGUAUGUAAGGCCGCAUGAGUAAUGAGAUCCGAUAAACUCGAGGUAAAAGUUAAAUUAGUUUACAAACACGGUCCCUAAUUUAUGGCGAUGUAACCAUUUAUACCCAUAGUGCAGUGGACUUACUUUAAUUUAGAUGGAGAUUAAGUUUUCGUAUCUCUGGUCUCAGCUUGUUGACUUGUAGUGAAAUAGCCUGAAGCACUUCUUGGAAGUCUAAAAGCACAAGCUGAUAUAUGACUGAGACUGAUGCAUUUUGGAGGAACAGUACUCCAUUUCCUAAAGCAUAUUUAUACCCCUCUGAAUUCACUCAGUGUUACUGUGCACCUCGUCAUCUUUGUGUUGCAGACGUUGCUGUUUUUCAAAUUUAUCUGGAACCACAGAUGGGUUAGGGUUCCUGUUCCAGUGUGUGUGUAUUACUGCAUAUCUACACAUGCGUUUUAUUAUGUAGACAUUGCCAGUACUGACUUGAACCCCAUUUUUGCCUUCACCGCUGCUUUAAUUCUUUGUUGCAUAGAUUCAACAAAGAGCUGGAACCGUUCCUCAGAGAUUGUAGUUCUUAUUGAAAAGAUAUAAUCACAGAGUUGCUGCACAUCUAUGAUUCAUCCUAUUCUACCACAUCCCAAAGAUGCUUGUUGGAUUGUGAUCUGGUCACUGUCAUGAAUUUGAGAUAAUUUGAGCUUUGUGACAUGUUGCAUUAUCCUGCUGGAAGCAGCCAUAAGAACAUUGGUACACUUUAGUCAUAAAGGAAGGGGCAUGGUCAGCAACAACUGUGCCGAGAAAGUAUCCCCCACAUCAUUACAACAGCACCGCCACCAGCCUGAACCGUUGAUGCAAGGCGGGAUGGAGCCGUGCUUUCAUGUUUACAUCAAAUACUGAUCUGAAUGUUGCUGCAGAAAUCAAGACUCAUCAGAGCAGGCAUUAUUUUUCAGAUCUCCUAUUGUUCAUUUUUGGGUAACCUGUGAAAAUUGUAGCUUCGGUUUCCUGUUCUUAGCUGACAGGAGUGGUACCUGGCUCUUCUGCAUAACGUAACAAGUGGUUAUUUGAGUUACUGCUGCCUUUCUAAUAGCUCGAAGCAGUCUGGCCAUUCUCUUCUGACCUCUGGCAUCAACAAGACAUUUUCUCCCAGAGAACUGCCACUCACUGGAUAUGUUCUCUUUUUCAGACCAUUUUCUGUAAACUCUAGAGAUGGUGUAGGAAAAUCCCAGUAGGUGAAGUUUGUGAAAUACUCAGACCGGCCCAUCUGGCACCAACAACCACGCCACAUUCAAAGUCGCUUAAAUCAUCUUCUCUGUUCUAAUGCUUAGUUUGUACUUCAAUACCUUUAUCAUGUCUCCAUGUGUAAAUGCUGCCAGUAGUAAACAAAAGAGAAAAAAUGAGCUUCAUAACCAUCAAACCCCACCCAUCUCUGUUUGGUUGAUUGUGAUUGUGAUUUUGUUUGGCACCACCAAACAAAAUUGUUCGUGUUCAAUGUCACAUUUUGGUCACGCUCCAUCUGAAUUAUUGCUACAGAGAUUAAUUUUGUCGUACUUUGUUCCAAAUCAUGUAAUGGACAGGCCCGACUUAAAGAUAUUAUAGUGAUCUGCAGUACGAUGUGACGAAAUGUCAUCCGGAUUGCAUCAGUUUCUCCUCUUGGCCAGAGACUUGCAGCCCUGCUGCUGAGCUUUUGGGAUGUACCCCACCACUAUGAUUUAUAAUGCACCGCUGUUCAGCUGUCAUAUCUCCUGCUGUAUUUCCUUUUUAUCUUUGCCACACUUCAUGAACUGAGCUGUUAGGUUUAUGGGCUCUUUAACUACCCCACUGUUAGAUCUUAUUGGAUUCAUUUGUCUUUUUAGGCCGGGUUAAGGCUUCACCCCGGGAUUAUUGCAUCAGUGAUCUUGGUGUCUGCGGUGGCGGUAGCUGCUGCCGUAUUGAUCAUCCGAAAAUACUGCUUCCCAGUCAAUGAGGCAACUUACAGAUACUCAGUGCUGAGACAGAUGGAGGAGGGGCAUUCAGCAGCGGCAGAGGAGGAUGGCGACAGGAGGUCGCGCACAGUGGGAGAGGAUUCAGACGAGGUCAGUGCAUCGUGGCUUCUCUGAUUGUAGCUUUCGCUGUCAUCUCUCUUCCAGUACAAGCCAGCACCACUGUAUCCUUCCUAAUCACAUCACAAGUCAAUUUCAACUUCCUUUUCUCUCCCCUUACAGGAUCUUUUGGAAUAAAUCUCCAACUGGGAAGCUGCUGGACUGACUGCAAUGGAGUUUAUUCUAUAAACUGUGUGGUGUACGAAUGAAAUGGAGGAUUGUUUUCGUAGCGGGGAUAAAAAGCGAGCCAAGAAUGUGAAAACCAAAAAUAUACAAUUACAGAUAAAAUAAGUGAGGAAAUAGUAUUCCAUAUUUGCAGUUAUAUCUUAAACUGUAAUUCUGAGAUUAAAUGUGAUUUCUAUUUGUGCAGCUUCAUACUCUUAGAUGUGAAAUAAUGACCUUCAUUUGAAUCAUCACUGACAUUUUCUUUUCUUUUUUUUCCUUUUUUACACAUAACACAUGACAUUUGAUGUCUUUGGCUACUACCCAACCCUCUGAUGGGUGGAGGUUGUUCCCGCAGGCACAGCUCAGGGCUUAAAAAAGGUGUUCUUUUUUUCCAGCAUAAAACUCAUUUAAUCCUUAUUUCUCACAAUCAAUAUUCUGCUAAAAUAUGCUACAAUAAAACAACCAACAAAACAUUCAGUGUUAGCUGUGGUAGAUAAGAGUCGUAAUGAAUUGUCAACAAAAUUGAAUGUGUUAUUUGGCGAUACGGUCAGUGUAUUAAAGCAGCAAUUCAUGCAGCCUUUUUAAAUUAUUCUUUUAUUUUGGAAAGCCUGAUAACUACUGAGCUAUCUGCACAUCUUUCAGCUGCAUUUAUUUUGUUGUUGUUUUUUGGACGAAUGGAGCUCUGAGACCUAUGCGUUUGAUAAGACUUGUGGGUAUGUGAUUUGGAUGCUAAUGCUGCUGAUCAUAUGGAGAGUCAACACUCCACUAUUUACUCCAUUAUUUCCACUAUUUAACUUUAAAUUUAAAUUUAUACCUGAAAUAUAAAAUCUAAAGCGGAACAUUAUUUCCUGUAUUAUUUACUGGCAGUGCAAUAAAUGUCAGUGGGACAUUGAAAGGGCAGACGCACUCACAUUCGCUCAAUGUUUGUCUGUCUGCCACAGAACAUGUAAAUGUGCAAUGCUAUGAAUUAAGCGGUUGUUACAAAGUCGCACAUGGAGAUGUGAUGUUUCGCACACCCCAAAUGAUGUGCAAAGGUAGUCAAAAUAGGACUUCAGCUGUCUGCCAGUUGGGCAGUUUCCCUUUGAAAGGAUUUGCUGUUUCAUCGUUCCACUUAAAGGCAAUUUGCAGUUUAGUCCACUGGGUCUUUAAUGUAGCGCUGGGCUGAAUGAUGUACCCUGAUCUCUCUGACAGCCAUACUUGUCACAGAUAGAAAAAAAGCUACUUACCUGGUUGGGAGCUGCAAGUGAACAUUCUGACGUGAACGUCAGUGUCACAGCUCAAACUAACGACUGGUUCAUUUUAGGUUAUUCGUGUGAUCAACAAAUCAGACACCGAGACCCGAUUCUUGUGUUUUCCAAUCAUCUUUUGCUGUGUAGUUACUGAUGUUGAUGUGGAUCAGUAUUUAUAAAACCUACUGUAUCUUUUUAUUUAUUUUGUGGACAUCUGGGAUCUAAAUCUGCUGGUUAUUAAACAUAUUAAUCAUGUGGACUGGUUAAGUGUGCUCUGUAUGUACUUAUUUUCCCCCCAGUUUGUUACCUUGAUGAUUUGUGUCCUUAUAUAAAGGGAAUGUUUUAUUAAAUGUAGCUCUGGAAUAAAAAAUCCAGGAG
Astatotilapia calliptera (eastern happy) is the source of this 4027-nucleotide long non-coding RNA. NCBI's taxonomy places the organism in Eukaryota, Metazoa, Chordata, Actinopteri, Cichliformes, Cichlidae. The record is from Ensembl.